GCAUCCCAGGUCAUGCACAGGAUCCAAGAAUCGGUGGCUUCUGGUGUAUUCAUCCCACAGUGCCUCUUAAUAACAAGUGGAUUCCUACAAAUGCGAUGAGCAUCACAACUUUGGCUGACCUUGGUCUGGGUGCACAUGUCUCACUGGUGGGUUUGGCUCCUGUGGGAAAUUGGCUUCUUGUGGGGUUGGUGGAGGCUGGGUCUCUUCAGGACCCACCGUGGUCUCAGCUUCAGAACAAUGCUCGACCAACUAAGUCCACCCAGACAGGAGCUGGAUGUCUUCAAGAAUCACCAGGAGAACUGAUAAACAAGAUUAUACUGUAUAGCACAGGGAAAUAUAUACAAGAUCUUAUGGUAACUCACAGAG
Vicugna pacos (alpaca) is the source of this 366-nucleotide non-coding RNA. The record is from RefSeq and is a predicted model, not a curated record. NCBI's taxonomy places the organism in Eukaryota, Metazoa, Chordata, Mammalia, Artiodactyla, Camelidae.